RNAcentral lists this ribosomal RNA (263 nucleotides) under uncultured Holophagae bacterium. RNAcentral's name for it is "partial 16S ribosomal RNA". It matches the Rfam family "Bacterial small subunit ribosomal RNA", at positions 1120 to 1382 of the family's 1533-position model. The record is from RNAcentral. Lineage: Bacteria; Pseudomonadati; Acidobacteriota; Holophagae.
AUCGGGUCACGCCGGGAACGUCUAAGGGGACCGCCCGGACAACGGGGAGGAAGGUGGGAUGACGUCAAGUCAGCAUGGCCUUUAUGUCCAGGGCUACACACGUGCUACAAUGGUUGGUACAAAGGGUUGCCAAGCCGUGAGGCGGAGCCAAUCUCAAAAGCCAACCUCAGUUCGGAUUGCAGUCUGCAACUCGACUGCAUGAAGCCGGAGUUGCUAGUAACCGCAGGUCAGCAAUACUGCGGUGAAUACGUUCCCGGGUCCUU